This 744-nucleotide ribosomal RNA is filed under the name Tropisternus lateralis. RNAcentral describes it as "partial 16S ribosomal RNA". The stretch from base 1 to 562 matches the Rfam family "Bacterial large subunit ribosomal RNA", at positions 1850 to 2925 of the family's 2925-position model. The record is from RNAcentral. Lineage: Eukaryota; Metazoa; Arthropoda; Insecta; Coleoptera; Hydrophilidae.
AGGUCUGGCCUGCCCAAUGAUUAAUUUAAUGGCCGCAGUAUUUUGACUGUGCAAAGGUAGCAUAAUCAUUAGUUCUUUAAUUGAGGACUGGAAUGAAUGGUCGGAUGAGAAAAAAACUGUCUCUGCUUAAAUUUUUUAAAACUUUAUUUUUAAGUUAAAAAGCUUAAAUUUUGUUUAAAGACGAGAAGACCCUAUAGAGUUUAAUAAAUUAAAAUGAUUUUUUGUUCUUAAGAAUUUAAUUUUAUAAAGUUGUUUGUUUAUUUGAUUGGGGUGAUUAGAAAAUUAAUAUAACUUUUCUUUACUUUUUACAUUAAUUUAUGUUUAAUUGAUCCAAUUAUUUUGAUUAAAAGAGUAAAUUACCUUAGGGAUAACAGCGUAAUUUUUUUGGAGAGUUCUUAUCAAUAAAAGAGUUUGCGACCUCGAUGUUGGAUUAAAAUUUAGAACUGGUGCAGAAGCUAGUUUAUUAGGUCUGUUCGACCUUUAAAAUUUUACAUGAUCUGAGUUUAAACCGGUGUGAGCCAGGUUGGUUUCUAUCUUAAUUUAAUUUUAAUGAUUUAGUACGAAAGGACCGAUUAUUAAUAAAAUUUAUUUUUUCUUGAAUAUUAUUGUUAUUUUGGCAGAUUAGUGCAUUAAAUUUAGAAUUUAAUUAAGUAUUGAAUUAUACAGAUAACACUUGAUUUUGAAGGAUUAUAUUUUAAUAUUUAUUAGAGGUUUAAUUUUAAUUGUUUGUGUUCUUGUUGGAGU